RNAcentral lists this ribosomal RNA (500 nucleotides) under uncultured bacterium. Its description in RNAcentral is "partial 16S ribosomal RNA". It matches the Rfam family "Bacterial small subunit ribosomal RNA", at positions 28 to 507 of the family's 1533-position model. The record is from RNAcentral.
GACGAACGCUGGCGGCGUGCUUAACACAUGCAAGUCGAACGGGUCUGCCCUGUUUUUUGCGGGGUGGGUCAGUGGCGAACGGGUGAGUAACACGUGAGUAACCUGCCCCUCACUUCUGGAUAACCGCUUGAAAGGGUGGCUAAUACGGGGUGUUCUGGCUGUGCCGCAUGGUGUGGCUGGGAAAGAUUCACUUUUGUGGUGUUUUGGUGGGGGAUGGGCUCGCGGCCUAUCAGCUUGUUGGUGGGGUGAUGGCCUGCCGAGGCUUUGACGGGUAGCCGGCCUGAGAGGGUGGGCGGUCACACUGGGACGGAGAGACGGCCCAGACUCCUGCGGGAGGCAGCAGUGGGGGGUAUAGCACAAUGGGCGGAAGCAUGAUGCAGCGACGUCGCGGGAGGGAUGGAGGCCUUCGGGUUGUGAACCUCUUUCGCCGGUGAAGAAGGUCCUGCUCUUUGUGGUGGGGUUGACGGUAGCCGGGUUAUGAAGCGCCGGCUAACUACGUG